This 301-nucleotide ribosomal RNA is filed under the name uncultured bacterium. RNAcentral describes it as "partial 16S ribosomal RNA". It matches the Rfam family "Bacterial small subunit ribosomal RNA", at positions 509 to 809 of the family's 1533-position model. The record is from RNAcentral.
CAGUCGCCGCGGUAAUACAGAGGUCCCGAGCGUUGUUCGGAUUCACUGGGCGUAAAGGGUGUGUAGGAGGUUGGAUAAGUCAGGUGUGAAAUCCCGCAGCUCAACUGCGGAACUGCAUUCGAUACUGUUCAACUAGAGGAUCGGAGGGGGAAGCGGAAUUCUUGGUGUAGCGGUGAAAUGCGUAGAUAUCAAGAGGAACACCGGUGGCGAAGGCGGCUUCCUGGAAGAUACCUGACUCUGAAACACGAAAGCCAGGGGAGCGAAUGGGAUUAGAUACCCGCGUAGUCCCUGUCUCUUAUAA